UAGGGAAUCUUCGGCAAUGGACGGAAGUCUGACCGAGCAACGCCGCGUGAGUGAAGAAGGUUUUCGGAUCGUAAAGCUCUGUUGUAAGAGAAGAACGAGUGUGAGAGUGGAAAGUUCACACUGUGACGGUAUCUUACCAGAAAGGGACGGCUAACUACGUGCCAGCAGCCGCGGUAAUACGUAGGUCCCGAGCGUUGUCCGGAUUUAUUGGGCGUAAAGCGAGCGCAGGCGGUUAGAUAAGUCUGAAGUUAAAGGCUGUGGCUUAACCAUAGUAGGCUUUGGAAACUGUUUAACUUGAGUGCAAGAGGGGAGAGUGGAAUUCCAUGUGUAGCGGUGAAAUGCGUAGAUAUAUGGAGGAACACCGGUGGCGAAAGCGGCUCUCUGGCUUGUAACUGACGCUGAGGCUCGAAAGCGUGGGGAGCAAACAGGAUUAGAUACCCUGGUAGUCCACGCUGUAAACGAUGAGUGCUAGGUGUUAGACCCUUUCCGGGGUUUAGUGCCGUAGCUAACGCAUUAAGCACUCCGCCUGGGGAGUAUGACCGCAAGGUU
RNAcentral lists this ribosomal RNA (549 nucleotides) under uncultured bacterium. RNAcentral's name for it is "bacterial SSU rRNA". It matches the Rfam family "Bacterial small subunit ribosomal RNA", at positions 355 to 895 of the family's 1533-position model. The record is from RNAcentral.